AUACAGGGAGGGUGAGAAACCCGGGAUGCCGCUGAAGCCACUGCUCCAGGAUCUGACCCACAGGAAGUGUGCUUUGCCGAUCCGCUAGGCGGCGCACGAGACAAUCAAGUUGACACUUUCCAGGGUCCCUGCGGCGUGACUCCUCAUCAGGAAGACCUCAGAACCACGCAGCACUUUGUCCGGGAAGCCUGCGUGUAUUGGGGUUAGCGCCUUCUCUGGGGGUCUUGAGGCCAUUGCAGAAGACAGCAGUGUCACAUCUUCAUUCCUCAUGGAACUGCUGCAUGGCCUGUUUAACCCAGAAACACGGGCUGUGUGUCCUCGUGCUGUGACUGUGUCCAUCCCUUCCAGGUUCCAUUCGCAUGGCCACCUCCACCAUCAGGAUGCGGUGCAGCCCCUUCCCCUUCUCUCAUACUGUCCCAGUGUCCUCUCCCUGCCUGCCCUCUGCCCUGGGCCUCUCCCUGCUCGCCUGAGCUCCCGCACACAGGUCAGGGAGUGGAGCUCACAGCAGGGACCUGGAGACCAGCCUCGCUCACACAGCACAGCGCCUCUCUGCUGCAGCCCUGUUCCCUGGGUCACCGCGCAUAGUCCUCCCAGAGCCAGCGCAACUGUCCGUGUCCACUGUGGACUCCUGUGUGCUGUUUUUGCGUGUGAGAAAUGUGAAGGAGGCUGCUGGGAGUGUUUAUGCUCAGCUUUGUGUAUGGACCUGUUAUUUCUCUUUCCCGGAACCUGAGAUAAGGGAGUGUUGAUAGGAAAUGGCGAACUUUUCUCAAUAAGCACUGGAUGAGUCUUCUUUUUAGCACUGCAUGAUAUUAGUAUUUGCUCCAAUCCCCACCAGCAUGUGAAAUUUGUUAUCAAUUUCCCUUUUCUGUUUUUGGCCUCAUGAUUGUGCAAUGUUUUCCCAUAAGGUUAUGCUGGAGAUUCCUAAGGACUGACAGUGUGAAAAUCUUAUAAACAUUAAAUGAAUCAUUUUUUAUUUCAGUUCAGAAAAACAGUCCCAGAACUGAGAAGAGUUCAGUGCCUGUGCUUUCAGUUUUCUGGAAAAGUUGACCAUGUUUCCAUGUGCAUGUUGCUCGUGCGCACAUCUUCCUCAGAAGGAUGUGCCUUUAAAUCAAAUGCCUAGUUUUGGACGAUGCAGGGUGGUGAACCUAGAGCCUCAUACCUGCUCCUCCAGUGCCCUACCACUGAGCUAAACCCAGCCUUUGCUCUGUUUAUAAAGAUUGUGUACUGGGCUUGGGAUUCAGCGCAGUGGUUCUGGCGGCUGCAGCGUAAGCACAAGGUACCAAGUUCAAUUCCCAGUACCAAAAAAAAAAAAAGAUUGUGUACUUGCUUCUCUAGUCACUGUUGCUGUUCAGUGGGAAGUUAUUUAGAUACUGUCGAUGUUUAUGCCUAUAAUUUAUAAAAAUACUUCUCCAAGUCCAUGGAGUGUCCUUUCCCUCUAUUGAAAGUGUUCCUUGGGGAGUUUAUUUUUUAAAUUGACAAAGUAUUAUGUAUCUAUUUUUAUACCUGUGCUUUUGGUGUCUUACCCAUUAGGUUUUUGCUAAAAUCUA
Molecule: long non-coding RNA, 1547 nt
Organism: Heterocephalus glaber (naked mole-rat)
Lineage: Eukaryota; Metazoa; Chordata; Mammalia; Rodentia; Bathyergidae
Source: Ensembl